GACUUACCGUUUCUCUGUCUCUCUCUGCGCCGGCCGCUAGUGAACUCUGCGAGUGAUGCCUUCGCUUCGAUGGCAGCUCCCACUCUGAAACGAGUCCUUCUCUCUCCUCCAAAACUCAUAAAACCCAAUUCUCUCUCCUACUUCUCCUCCCAAUCAUCUACAUCGGCGGAUCAACCCCCUAUAGUUUCCACCGUCGUUUCACUUCUUACCCACCACCGCUCCAAAUCCCGAUGGAACCAUCUCCGCUCUCUCCUUUCAUCUACCAACACCCUCACCCCUGUGCACUUUUCCCAAAUCGCUUUCCAUUUAAAAUCGAAUCCCCAUCUUGCCCUCCGCUUCUUCCACUUCACUCUACACAACUCUUUCUGCUCCCACAACCUGUACUCUUACUCCACCAUCAUCCACAUCCUCUCCCGGGCUCGCCUCAAGUCUCCUGCCCAGUCUAUUAUCCGGGCUGCUCUCCCCUCCCCCGUGUUGUUUGAUCGUAGUAUUGCCCCAGUGAAAUUCUUAG
Molecule: unclassified non-coding RNA, 511 nt
Filed under: Hevea brasiliensis (rubber tree)
Lineage: Eukaryota; Viridiplantae; Streptophyta; Magnoliopsida; Malpighiales; Euphorbiaceae
Source: RNAcentral